CUGAAAGUAGUCCCUACUUGACCUUUGAUAUUUGCAUCUCUAUCCGCAUAUGACCCAAACGGAUAUCGUUUUUAUCUGUUGGCUUUAUCCUACCGAGAAACCUACACAUUAUAUGUCAUUAUAUGUGUAGGUUUCUCGGUAGGAUAAAGCCAACAGAUAAAAAUGAUAUCCGUUUGAGUCAUAUGCGGAUAGAGAUGCAAAUAUCAAAGGUCAAGUAGGGACUACUUUCAGUGUUUAGAAACAAACAUGGCGUUGCCCUCGUCAUUCGGCAAUCGAGUCAGAUUUAACCAUCGGGAAUCUGGAUAAACUACAUAGACUCAAAUCCCAAAACCAAUACCUGCAAACAGUGUGUCCCGACAGUCAGAUGUGACUCUUAUGCAGAAUGUUUGGUUGGACUAUGUAAUUAUUCCAGGUAUUCCUCAUUGCUGCAGCUUGGACUUGGCAGAUAUGGUUAAUGCCAUCAUGCAGUGUAUUUCAUAUCACAGAGGUGCUGAGUCCAAACUGCAGCAAUGAGGAAUAUCUGGAAAAAUUAUUAUCUUGAUUGUCUGAUUUUUACAAAAAUAAAUACUCUUUGAUAUUGCAUUUUAAUCUCCCAAAUUUUAUAUUCACAAUGUUGCCUUAUUAUUUUUUCAAUAAGAGUUAAAAUUAUUUCUUAUCUUGAUAUAACCUAUUGCAAAUUCCUUGUCACUUUCAUCCCACAGCCCAGAACCAAUACAUGCCUCUCCACCAGGUCACCAAGCAGAGUUACAACCCCUUAAAGCCCUUUCUCUCCCAUCUUGCUUCAACAGACGUUUCGAAGCCCAUUUCAUUAUUCUUUAACAUUGGACGCACAAUUUGUUGUUAUUGUAACAUGUUGGGCUAUCCUUUCUUUGAAGGUUCAUACAUAUGAUGCUGCCUCGAUUUGUUGUGUUGCUUUAUGCAUUUUUAUGAUUUUGUUCCCUUCUGGAGGGUGACACAAUCGCUCGUUGAUUACAGCGUUUUCAAUGGGUUGGCAUCGGACACGCCUUCAACUCAUGUAAUGUCUUUUCACCUUUACAGGGAGAAUUCAUGUGGAUUUUGAGAGGCUGCUUCUGUGAGUGGCAGAUGUUGUGAGCAUCUCUUUUAUCCCACACCUUGAUCAACCUUCUUUAUGGACAAGCAAAUCUGAAUACACAUGCGAUGGACCACAUCUCAAUGGAGUGUAUGUUAAAUACAAUCCAAAGAGCCAUUGUUGAGUGGUUUUCAGUAGGGAAUGUCGCUCCUCAUGUAGGCGGGGCAGACCUGUGAGUCUAGAAUACACUCUGUUUUGGGUAUCAUAUCAAUAUACGUCCAUUAAAGACAUCCACAAUCCCAAAACCUUGUGAUCUUGCCAGGGUUUUGCUCAAUGAGCAGAGAAGUCUUGCACAUCAACUAUCUGGAAUCUCACUGUGUAUGUACUUUGUUUGGUCAUAUACUGAGGGAAACAUUAAAUGCUUGUCUCGACGAAUGGUUGUCAUUGAGUGGGGUGAUAUAAAAACUUGAUCUAGCCGAUAUUGCAGUGGCAACAAGGACACCCAGCAUAGGAGUAGGUUCCUAAGCAAGCCUAGACUGACCCGUCCUACAGGCAUGUGGGACACUGACAUGAGUGCAGAAGAACCAUGCACGUGAACAGAGUUCACAAUAUUCUCACAUGCAAAAACGCGGCAGAUAAAGCAAGAGAUUCAGUUCCCUCUCAUCACCUGGUUGUUGACUCUACAGGGUUGGGAGGACUUCUACACCACAAUGGCACACUACAUCCACAAGAUGGGAUCAACCCACUCCAGUCCUAUAUUGGACAGGAAGUUCAAGUUUUACAGGUUGAUCACCAGUUUGUCACUGGAGGCCAGAGCUUAUCACAUUCCAGGCAUCAGCAGUGUGUUGACAGACGAGCUGUUAAGGCAAGGACUGUCCACUUCAAAGACAGACUGCAUCCAGGCAUCAGCAGUGUGUUGACAGACGAGCUGUUAAGGCAAGGACUGUCCACUUCAAAGACAGACUGCAUCCAGGCAUCAGCAGUGUGUUGACAGACAAGCUGUUAAGGCAAGGACUGUCCACUUCAAAGACAGACUGCAUCCAGGCAUCACCAGUGUGUUGACAGACAAGCUGUUAAGGCAAGGACUGUCCACUUCAAAGACAGACUGCAUCCAGGCAUCACCAGUGUGUUGACAGACAAGCUGUUAAGGCAAGGACUGUCAACUUCAAAGACAGACUGCAUCCAGGCAUCAGCAGUGUGUUGACAGACGAGCUGUUAAGGCAAGGACUGUCCUCUUCAAAGACAGACUGCAUCCAGGCAUCACCAGUGUGUUGACAGACGAGCUGUUAAGGCAAGGACUGUCCACUUCAAAGACAGACUGCAUCCAGGCAUCACCAGUGUGUUGACAGACAAGCUGUUAAGGCAAGGACUGUCCACUUCAAAGACAGACUGCAUCCAGGCAUCACCAGUGUGUUGACAGACGAGCUGUUAAGGCAAGGACUGUCCACUUCAAAGACAGACUGCAUCCAGGCAUCACCAGUGUGUUGACAGACGAGCUGUUAAGGCAAGGACUGUCCACUUCAAAGACAGACUGCAUCCAGGCAUCAGCAGUGUGUUGACAGACGAGCUGUUAAGGCAAGGACUGUCCACUUCAAAGACAGACUGCAUCCAGGCAUCACCAGUGUGUUGACAGACGAGCUGUUAAGGCAAGGACUGUCCACUUCAAAGACAGACUGCAUCCAGGCAUCACCAGUGUGUUGACAGACGAGCUGUUAAGGCAAGGACUGUCCACUUCAAAGACAGACUGCAUCCAGGCAUCAGCAGUGUGUUGACAGACGAGCUGUUAAGGCAAGGACUGUCCACUUCAAAGACAGACUGCAUCCAGGCAUCACCAGUGUGUUGACAGACGAGCUGUUAAGGCAAGGACUGUCCACUUCAAAGACAGACUGCAUCCAGGCAUCACCAGUGUGUUGACAGACGAGCUGUUAAGGCAAGGACUGUCCACUUCAAAGACAGACUGCAUCCAGGCAUCACCAGUGUGUUGACAGACAAGCUGUUAAGGCAAGGACUGUCCACUUCAAAGACAGACUGCAUCCAGGCCUGUCUUUCUUGAUGUGCCAAGAGAGUUGUCAUGAGAUUUAAACACUAGCUUCAAGUAUUCGUGUCAUCAGUCUCCGAUCCACCACUAACUUGUAUACCAACCAUCUUACAUGCAGGAUUGGAUCCACCUGGUGCUCAUAAUCUACAUCAGACUUACUCUGAUUAAACAAAUAUAAAGCAUGCCCUGCCCUACCACCAUCUCAACGUUUUUCAACUGACCGGGAGAGGAUUUUGAUAUUUUGGACCCCUUCCCUUUUCAGAAUGCUGAAUCUGCCCUUGCUUUUAGUGGCUUUCAGAUGAGAGGAAAGUUAGGGUUCAAGGGUAGGUAACUCUGAUCUGUGAAAUGGCAGAGAGACAUGUUUGGGGUUCUGUGUUAACAGAUCGAAGAGAAGAAAUUUGCAUUAGGCUCUAUUACAAACAUACUUAUCUGCUCUUGAUUUGCAUGCGCUAAGCAGUAUAUUUUUAGGCAAACAUAACGUUGGUGCGUAAACACUCCAGUUGCUUAUAACUCUAUUUUCACUGUUGGAAUAGUGCAGAUAAGCCUUGUUAUCGUUCACAAAAACUUAAAAUAUCUCCAUGCCAUCUUCUUAUCUUGAAUAUUUAGAUUGUUUUACAAAUAAUGUCUUUUGACUAAGGUACAGAAAUAUGGCUAUCUAUUGCCAAAUUAAACAUGUUUCAAUUUGCCAACACCCUCUGUCAUAUGCUCUCUUGCCGCCUUGCAAUGAUGUAUUAUUAAAUGUUCAUCUAGUGCCUUAUUGAUUUAGAUAGUUUUAUAUUGCAUAUUUUUAUCAGAUUUCCCUUUCAUGUGAAGAAAGGUAUUGUUUCAUGCUGUAUGUACUAGUCUGGGGCUGUGUACAUUUGUAUGGUUAUACCUGUUUAUAAUAGGGCUGUCCCUAAUGUUAGACUUAAAGAACAUCAUUUCAAAAUUACAGCUGAAAACAACAAAUUGGUCAAGUACACAGCUAAUCUCUUGCCACUUCUACUCAAUGAAUUUAUUUUUUUUAAUGUUUUGUUCUCAUCUUAAAAUCUUAACCAUGUUCAUUUAGAAUCACACUGAUGCAAAAUACCCUUUUGGUGUGGCAUGAGUGGCCAGUUGACAAAGUAUUUAACAUUUGUUGUAAUUUGUGCAAUUUGCAAUCAAACCAACUUUACAUUACAAAUUGAGACGUAGUUUACAGCAACAAGAUAUUCUAUUAAUUAUAUUGUUAUUUAUGCACUUUGCUAGCAAAUUACAUAUGAAAUUGUCACCAUCAUCAUACAAUGGGGAAACAUGCCAAGUGAGUUUCAUUACAGUUACAGUUUUUUAACCACUGUGUUGACCUGAAAACAUUUCCCACAUUGAUUAAUUUAAAAUCACAAACCCUAAUGAAAUCCUAUCUAGAUAGUCACACCAGGUGAUUGUUAAGAUCACACACACUAUCACAGUCCAACAUCUCAGAUAAUUUUGUGUAUAUUAAUUAAAUGUUAGGACUUUAGAUAGAGGUAUUACAGUUUGGUUAAAUUAGUAUAUUAGCUUGCUUGGUGUUGUUGUUUGAUACUGUCAGGUAAUACUAUGGGACAGGUUAGAUAUCAGCGAACUAUGACAAGGUACUGCUGAUAGCUGGGAGUUAAUUGGUGUAACAAUAGGGAGGUCAGGGCAGCUUGGGUAAUUGGGGGGUGGGGGGCAGUUUAAAUACCAGGGCAAGGUAAUAAUUUUCAGUCAGCCAGAAUUAGUAGGUUGUUCUGACAAGGCAUGGACUGACAUUGUGCAAGGUUUUCACCCUGGUUGGCGUAAGUCUUUUCAUUUAUUUGUUUCAUGUAGGAUUGUAUAUGUUGAGGAUAGAAUUUUAAAUUAUGUAUUGGUUUUUUAUGUGAUUAUAUGCAUAUAUUGAUUGGAAUAACGAGAAGCCACUCAAAAAACAACCCAAAACAACACAGUGAAAUGUAAAUGGGAGUAUUGACGUAUUGUUGUAUGUAUUGUAAGGUAUUGACACGUGCCUCAGUGACUGUAGUUGCAGAUAUUAUAUUGUAGUGUCCUGGAACUGGGUGGUCGGUCAUCCUUGCAAUAACAAGGAGGAAGUUUAUGUAUAUUCAUUUUCAUAUUUAACAACUUUGUAGUUUCCCCCAGAUGUAUAAUUAGUGGUACACAUGUUGGAAGAACACCUUCUUAAAACAUCCGGACUUCCCCACCAAACAUCCUCUUUUUAAUUCUUACAACAAAUAAGAGUGGAGUGUGGGGCAAAUACAAAUUCACACUAUUUUCAAUCAUUUGUCCCUCAUCAUGACAAUAUUUUAAUUUUUGGACAGUCCUUAAUCAUGUUUUCAUUUAAUUAUUGAUCUGCAUCCCUUGUGUUCUAAGAAAUAUUUAUUGCCAUUAGCUGUGAUGCAUAGCCUAAACAACUAUAGACAAUUGCUUUUCCAUGAUUGUGAUAGUGUAUCUCACAUAACUCUUGACUACUUUCUUUACCAUCAUAUGGUAUGGCAUAUUUAGCAUUGUAAAUUUCACCAUUUCGAUGGAAAUUAUUUGCAAUGAACUUUGUAAAUUGAGAAUACUAAUAUUGAACGAAACUUUGGUGGGUUAUAACUGUUCGCCUCUCAUGAUUUUCUUAAUAUUAUUUCAUAUAAUACAGAAAUCAUAUUUGCAAUUGUAAGUUGUCUCUGUGAGUGGCUGGCUUUUUUUCUAUGUAUUUCGGUGGUUUCUUGAAGUUUCCUUCUUUACCAGUGAUUGAUGUAGUAUGGAGACAGGAUGGUCAGGAUGUUGUAUAUUUCUACGUUAAUCCAAUCUCAUGUGAACACAUCAGCAUGUAUAUAUAUUUACUCAAUAUGGGUCAUCAAGAAAAGGGACCCUGAAUUUGUUGAUACAAAGGAAAAUGCACUUGUCAUCCAUGAAAAAGUGUCACAUAUUCAUCAUCUGUCAUGUUUUGUUUCUAAUAUAGCUAGCUAGGUCCUUGAAGUGGACAUUUGUCUGGAAGACAACGCUGUCUAAUGUCCCUGAGGGGUUUCUAAUAUACUCCAGGUGGUAUCAGGUUAAGAAUACCGAUACAAUAAAUAUUCUGAUUUAUAUAAUAUCCCAAAUGGGGCCUUUACACAGGAUGGCGACCUUCGUGCCUCCAGUGUUCGACCAUAAAAUUUGCCAGGUCAUCGUUGGAGGCUCAAAGGAGGCAGAAUGGUUGCCUAGGUCGUUCAAAGGUGGUACACAGGAUUUUCAGACAUCACCAUGGACGCCGUGAAUUUUUGAACAUGUUCAAAACAGUCGCACAAAGGUCGCCGAAGACAUUGGUUGUUCAAAGGUGGCUCAAAGGAGGCACAAGCAUUGCCGUUGUUGCAGAAUGAAGGCACAGUGGUCGCCCAAUUGUCGCCAGGUAAUUUUCCCCGUCAAUCUGGGUGAUGCUUCUGCCUCCCUUGUGCCUCCUUUGGGCGACCAACAGCGUGCAUUGAACGAUGACUGUGGCGACAGCCGUGCCUCAAUUCGGCGAGCACGGCAACCAUUGAGACACCAUGGCAAUGCUUCUGCCUCUUUUCUGCCUCCUUUGGUUUACAUGUAAUGCCUCCUCAGCCUGCCUAUAAAUAGAGGGCUUGUAUCUGCAGUGUUGCAGACGCUUAACAACUCCUGGAGCAGUUACAUAGAAUCAGAAUUUUCUGGGUUUAGGCGACCAUUGAACAUCCCGGCCAGUUUUUGAUUGCUCAAAGGUGGCACAAAGGUCGCAGCCCUGUGUAAAGGGGGCUUAAGUUGUUAACUUUAUCAUUGUGCAUUGACAAGUGAAAUUUGUUAUCUGAGCAACAUGUAGUGUUAAUAUGUUACUCUUUGCACUACAUUCAGGAUUUGUAUUCUUACUGGAUCUUUGCACUUACUUUGACCACAGCAUUUUGCCAAUAACAAGUGAAACUCUGCAAGUACUUGCAACAAUAGAAGCAGUCACAAGGUCAAAGAAUCAUUACAUAUCGGAAGAACGCAGGAAGGUUUUAAGAACAUCCAGGCGCCAUUCAUGUGCUGAUGUAAUGUCAAGAUGAAAACUCCUGCUUGUUUUGCGAUCUUAAAUAGAACUCGCUUCACUGCAUGACAGUACCAUUCUGAACAUUGUGUACAAAUGCAAAUAAAUCAUUCAAUAUA
Long non-coding RNA from Haliotis rufescens (red abalone), 7160 nucleotides. RefSeq lists it as uncharacterized. NCBI's taxonomy places the organism in Eukaryota, Metazoa, Mollusca, Gastropoda, Lepetellida, Haliotidae. The transcript has 2 exons. The record is from RefSeq and is a predicted model, not a curated record.